RNAcentral lists this microRNA precursor (72 nucleotides) under Nothoprocta perdicaria. RNAcentral's name for it is "mir-148/mir-152 microRNA precursor family". It matches the Rfam family "mir-148/mir-152 microRNA precursor family". Rfam says of the family: The hairpin precursors (represented here) are predicted based on base pairing and cross-species conservation -- their extents are not known. In this case the mature sequence is excised from the 3' arm of the hairpin. RNAcentral also lists the same sequence under 3 other names. The record is from Rfam by way of RNAcentral. Lineage: Eukaryota; Metazoa; Chordata; Aves; Tinamiformes; Tinamidae.
CUGAAGCAAAGUUCUGUGACACUCAGACUCUGAUAUGAUAGAAGUCAGUGCACUACAGAACUUUGUCUCCGG